GAAAAUGUUGGGAAUAAAUCCCGCCACGAAAAUAAUACAAUGAUAAUAAGGAGCAAUAAAUAUGACAGCGCUAAUACGGUUGAUCAACAAGAAUAAUGAGAACAAUAAUGGCACCAAGAUUUUAUGUGGAAACCCUUCUAAAUAAGGAAAAAAAACCACGGACCAAGAGGAGCAACUGAUAUUACUACAGUAAAGAUUUUUACGCCGUAGUCACAAAUACAAUAUUCAAGUUGACUACUAAAUACUCAAAAGAAAUAACCCUCUUUUGACUCUCACCUUACAAAAAUACUUAAUAAGGAAUUUUAUAUCGUAGUCAAAGUGACUACCAAACCUUAGUAAAAAUAUUGCUCACUCUAUUUUUUUCUUCAUAGUCUAUUUUUAUCCCAAUCUGUGAAAUACCUCACCGCUCUACAUUGUUUUUCCCUCUUUGGUGGUGUAUUUUUCUGGUUGGUAUAGGCAAUUUCUGCCUAUUUCACGUAUGCCAUGAUCUCAACUUUGCUGCCAAUUUUGAAAAUUGUAGCAGCCAAAGUUGAGCAAAUUUUAGGCUAUCAAGUUUGAAGCAGCCAAUUAAGACUCGCAAGGGAUGGAACCAUCAAAUCUCCCCCUCCAAUUCUAUGCAUCUGAAGAAGGUAUUUUCGUCCUCUUAGAGAGAGCUUAUGCCGACCUUUAUCAGCAUAUUCGCAGGUUGCUCCCCCUCAAAUCAAGACCACACCACAUGUGACCUCUAUUUCAGCGAUAAUCCAUUUGAUUUCGCUAACCAUCUUAUACCCUCACUACCAACCAGUGGGACACACCGCUCGACCACCAUUUAUUAAGAAGACUUUCAAUACAAGGCAUGAUAGGUAACUUCACAUGAUCUGUCAAACAGAUCUUGUACUGCCGUUAUCAUGGCUAACCAUCUUAUACCGCCACUAUCAACUAGUAGGACAUGCUGCCUGACCACAACUCGCCAGGAAGAUUUUCGACACAAGACACCACCUGCAGAUUUUCAGUCUUAUUGUCACACCGGAAACUUCUCUCACAAAAUGCAGUCCACUACUCCGACACACCCGAACCUGGACUCUGAUACCACUUGUUGCGAAAAAUGAAUAAAUUUUUCCACUACAACAGAACAACAAGCUUUGAUACCAAUUAUUGGGAAUAAAUCCCUCCACGAAAACAAUACAACGAUAAUAAGGAGCAAUAAAUAUGACUGCGCUAAUACUAUUGAUCAACAAGAAUAAUGAGAACAAUAAUGACACCAAGAUUUUAUGUGGAAAUCCUUCUAAAUAAGGAAAAAAACCACGAACCAAGAGGAGCAACUCAUAUUACUAUAGUAAGAAUUUUUACACUAUAAUCACAAAUACAAUAUUCAAGUUGACUACUAAACACUCAAAAGAAAUAACCCUCUUUUGACUUCCACCUUACAAAAAUACCUAGUAAGAAAUUUUAUACCGUAAUCAAAGUGACUAUCACACCUUACUAAAAAUAUUGCUCACUCUAUUUUUUCUUCAUAAUUUAUUUUUAUCCCAAUCUGUAAAAUACCUCACCGCUCUACAUUAUUUUUCCCUCUUUGGUGGUGUAUUUUUCUGGUUGGUGUUGAACAAAGGAGUAGAGGAGCUCCUUUUAUAGGCAAUUUCUGCCCAUUUCA
RNAcentral lists this long non-coding RNA (1630 nucleotides) under Capsicum annuum. RNAcentral describes it as "long non-coding RNA (CANN_LNC018101)". Lineage: Eukaryota; Viridiplantae; Streptophyta; Magnoliopsida; Solanales; Solanaceae. The record is from RNAcentral.